AUGAAAACUUGCUCGUCUAUAACUGGUUUAAGAUGAUGAACUCUGCCGGGUCAUCCAGACUUUCACUAACAGCUGAUGAGUUUAUAUUUUCAAAAGAAAAAUAGUUGAUGCAUGCAAUAUUGGGUCAUUAGAACAAUUUCAUCCAAACCAAAAAUGGUUAUCUAACUGUUAGCCUUGAUAAAGGUCCACUUUUUUAAUCUGUUAUUCUAACAGGGAAGACAAUAUAUUAUUCCUUUCUA
Non-coding RNA from Paramuricea clavata, 239 nucleotides. The record is from the annotation of a GenBank genome assembly. NCBI's taxonomy places the organism in Eukaryota, Metazoa, Cnidaria, Anthozoa, Malacalcyonacea, Plexauridae.